GAAACCAAGAUCAAUGUUUGGCCUACGCUUUGGCCAACAUUGAUCUUGGUUUCUCCUCAUAUCUUUCCUCUAUGACUUCUCUUCACUCUCGGAAAAAAAGAAUUGGAGCACAAAAGCUUUUCCCUGGGGCACUACCCUAUACAGUAACAACACAGCACUAUUACUUGUAAGUCACUUUUUGUACCUUCAAGUCUACAAUUGUGUACCCAAGUGACUGAAAUGAACUUUUCAACAAAAACAUGUCACAAAAUUGAGAAAACAGUGCAAGACCCUUUUUCCCCUUCACCCCAGCUCCCACUGUCGAUCUGGGGAGGUUGUAAACCAGCUAUGUGCUUCUCAUUGAUAUACAGGCUUCUUUUAAUCAGGACAGCGAGAAUACCAUCCCCUCCAGACACCAACCCCACAACACAGGUGGCCCGA
Sebastes umbrosus (honeycomb rockfish) is the source of this 420-nucleotide long non-coding RNA. RefSeq lists it as uncharacterized. The transcript has 3 exons. The record is from RefSeq and is a predicted model, not a curated record. Lineage: Eukaryota; Metazoa; Chordata; Actinopteri; Perciformes; Sebastidae.